CGCGGGGUGGAGCAGCUCGGUAGCUCGCUGGGCUCAUAACCCAGAGGUCGCAGGUUCAAAUCCUGUCCCCGCUAC
RNAcentral lists this transfer RNA (75 nucleotides) under Mycolicibacterium phlei. RNAcentral describes it as "tRNA-Met(cat)". It matches the Rfam family "tRNA". From Rfam's summary of the family: Transfer RNA (tRNA) molecules are approximately 80 nucleotides in length. Their secondary structure includes four short double-helical elements and three loops (D, anti-codon, and T loops). RNAcentral also lists the same sequence under 664 other names. Lineage: Bacteria; Bacillati; Actinomycetota; Actinomycetes; Mycobacteriales; Mycobacteriaceae. The record is from RNAcentral.